CCCUAGUAACUGCGAGUGAAGCGGGAAAAGCUCAAAUUUAAAAUCUGGCGGUCUUUGGCUGUCCGAGUUGUAAUCUAGAGAAGUGUUAUCCGCGCUGGACCGUGUACAAGUCUCCUGGAAUGGAGCGUCAUAGAGGGUGAGAAUCCCGUCUUUGACACGGACUGCCAGGGCUUUGUGAUGCGCUCUCAAAGAGUCGAGUUGUUUGGGAAUGCAGCUCAAAAUGGGUGGUAAAUUCCAUCUAAAGCUAAAUAUUGGCGAGAGACCGAUAGCGAACAAGUACCGUGAGGGAAAGAUGAAAAGAACUUUGGAAAGASAGUUAAACAGUACGUKAAAUUGCUKVAASGGRAACGBUUGAAGUCAGUCGCGUUGGCCAGGGWUCAACCUUGCUUUUGCUGGGCGUACUUCCUGGUUAAUGGGUCAGCAUCAAKUKUGACCGUUGGAUAAAGGUUAGGGGAAUGUGGCAUCUUCGGAUGUGUUAUAGCCCUUGGUCGCAUACAACGGUUGGGAUUGAGGAACUCAGCACGCCGCAAGGCCGGGUACUCGUACCACGUUCGUGCUUAGGAUGCUGGCAUAAUGGCUUUAAUCGACCCGUCUUGAAACACGGACCAAGGAGUCUAACAUGCCUGCGAGUGUUUGGGUGGAAAACCCGAGCGCGUAAUGAAAGUGAAAGUUGAGAUCCCUGUCGUGGGGAGCAUCGACGCCCGGACCAGACCUUUUGUGACGGCUCCGCGGUAGAGCAUGUAUGUUGGGACCC
Molecule: ribosomal RNA, 754 nt
Filed under: Galerina minima
Lineage: Eukaryota; Fungi; Basidiomycota; Agaricomycetes; Agaricales; Galerinaceae
Description: eukaryotic LSU rRNA
Rfam family: Eukaryotic large subunit ribosomal RNA
Source: RNAcentral